GGCAACAGCUCAAAUUUGAAAUCUGGCCCCCUCGGGGCCCGAGUUGUAAUUUGUAGAGGAUGUUUCUGGCGACGUGCCUUCCGAGUUCCCUGGAACGGGACGCCAUAGAGGGUGAGAGCCCCGUACGGUUGGAUGCCUAGCCUCUGUGAAACUCCUUCGAC
RNAcentral lists this ribosomal RNA (161 nucleotides) under Nectria sp. (in: ascomycete fungi). RNAcentral describes it as "Nectria sp. (in: Fungi) partial large subunit ribosomal RNA". It matches the Rfam family "Eukaryotic large subunit ribosomal RNA", at positions 100 to 261 of the family's 3401-position model. Lineage: Eukaryota; Fungi; Ascomycota; Sordariomycetes; Hypocreales; Nectriaceae. The record is from RNAcentral.